ACUGGACUAUGCCAGUAUAAAUAGAUUUUAGGCAUAGUGCGGCGGGAUUCGUCCCGCGUAAUA
Molecule: ribozyme, 63 nt
Filed under: unclassified sequences
Description: pistol ribozyme
Rfam family: Pistol ribozyme
Source: RNAcentral